GCCAGGCAUGGUGGCACAUGCCUAUAAUCCCAGGGGCUUGGGAGGCUGAGACAGGAGGAUCACGAGUUCAAAGCCACCCUCAGCAAAAGCGAGGAGUUAAGCCACUCAGUGAGACCCUGUCUCUA
This 125-nucleotide small RNA is filed under the name Marmota monax (woodchuck). Lineage: Eukaryota; Metazoa; Chordata; Mammalia; Rodentia; Sciuridae. The record is from RNAcentral.